AAAACAUGUCUUUAAAACCUGAAAACUUUCGGAAUAACACUAUUUUCUUUUGCAAAAAAAAAAAAUCGGUGGGGCUAAAGGUAUGGGGAGGUAGGAUUGUACUAAAGAUAUACUAUAUUUGGUGACUCGUCAGACUCAUGCAUUAUACUAAAAAGCAAAAUAAACAACUAAAAGGAAAUAAAAAUAAAUAAACUAUCUAAAAACAAC
This 207-nucleotide long non-coding RNA is filed under the name Lathyrus oleraceus (garden pea). Its description in RNAcentral is "Pisum sativum (pea) long non-coding RNA (PSAT_LNC027544)". Lineage: Eukaryota; Viridiplantae; Streptophyta; Magnoliopsida; Fabales; Fabaceae. The record is from RNAcentral.